Long non-coding RNA from Salmo salar (Atlantic salmon), 1329 nucleotides. RefSeq lists it as uncharacterized. The record is from RefSeq and is a predicted model, not a curated record. NCBI's taxonomy places the organism in Eukaryota, Metazoa, Chordata, Actinopteri, Salmoniformes, Salmonidae.
CCUGUGGCAGCAGCAGCCAGUGAGUGGCCCGGCGGGCACACCGCUCCCUCUGAUGCCCUGCCAACUAUUCAUCACUUAACAGGAAGAGGGGGAGAAAUCAGCCACGGCUGCCAAUUAUCAGGGAAAAACAGAAGGAAACUGGGACAGGGGAGACAACAUGGAGGAAGAACAUACAGACCAACAGACACAAUGUGUUAAAGGCAGACGGACAGACAGAUGGAAACAGACAGACGGACAGACAGAUUGACAGACAGACAGGAGUGUUUUUGACUUGUGCUUGCUGGGUUUUAUUCUUCGUCCACUUGGAAAGGUCAUUAACAGCCAGCUAGAACCACACAUAGAAGUUGAAACACUGCCGAGAUACAGGAUGACUCAAGCACAGAGGACCGGCGAGAUUUCACAGGGGCCUUACCGGCUGAUGAGAGAGAGAGAGAACAAAGCCAGGCGUGAACGACAGAAGAGAAAUAAAGGAGAAGAAAAGACAGGGGAACAAAAACACUGUCGGCCCUAAAUGUUCCUCCUGCACCUGACAGACAGGCAGACUGACACAUCCAUCCAUUCCCCCAGCCUGCCUUUGUUGCUAUAGAGACUGUUCCUGCUUUGACUCCAGCCUGAUUAAAGUCCACUGUUGGGCUAAGUGUGUGUUUGCCUUCACACAUACGGUUUUAGUCUAAUGAAAAACAAACUCUUUAUGAUAACCCACACACAGACAACACACAAACUCAUGGGAAUAUAGGAGAACACUAUAUAUAUCUAAAACCACAGGAAAACACUACACUGGUACAUUAACAUAGGAGAACACUAUAUAUAUCUAAAACCACAGGAAAACACUACACUGGUACAUUAACAUAGGAGAACACUAUAUAUAUCUAAAACCACAGGAAAACACUACACUAAUGCAUAAAGGUAUCUACUUUAUAUCCAAUACACAUGAAUAAUGUUUCUGUUCUGAGACAAAGUAAACACACAGAAAGAUCCUCAGGUCUAAAGUAGACUAACGAUGUGUAAGAAUGUAGUGUGUGUGUGUGUGUUUGUGUGAAACAGUAUGGAGAGAGUGUGUGUGCAUGUGUGUGUGUACUUUAAAGUGGACUACCUGCACAGCCUGCCAAAAGCGUCUUACCGCUGAAGGCCCUUUGAGGCCGUAUCAGACUCUUCAAUCGCUUAAUAAUCCUGGCUGGCGUGGAGCGGUGAGCGGCUGAGGCUGCCUUUGAAGUGUGUGUGUGUGUGAGGAACAGUGGAAGUGGAUCUGAAGGCAGGAGCAUGCACCGCUUACCAGAACUUAAUUAACAAUCUGCAGCUGGAACAGGGCCAACUCUCUCUCUCUCACAC